CAUGUAGGCGGAUAUGGAAGUCAGCUGUGAAAUCCCUUGGCUCAACCAAGGAAGUGCAUCUGAAACCACAUAUCUUGAGUAUGACAGAGGGAAGUGGAAUUCCCAGUGUAGAGGUGAAAUUCAUAGAUAUUGGGAAGAACACCGGUGGCGAAGGCGGCUUUCUGGGUCAUUACUGACGCUGAGAUGCGAAAGCGUGGGGAGCAAACA
RNAcentral lists this ribosomal RNA (207 nucleotides) under uncultured bacterium. RNAcentral's name for it is "partial 16S ribosomal RNA". It matches the Rfam family "Bacterial small subunit ribosomal RNA", at positions 568 to 774 of the family's 1533-position model. The record is from RNAcentral.